UACGGAAGGCAGCAGUGGGGAAUAUUGCACAAUGGGCGCAAGCCUGAUGCAGCCAUGCCGCGUGUAUGAAGAAGGCCUUCGGGUUGUAAAGUACUUUCAGUCGUGAGGAAGGUGUUAAGGUUAAUAACCUUAGCAAUUGACGUUAGCGACAGAAGAAGCACCGGCUAACUCCGUGCCAGCAGCCGCGGUAAUACGGAGGGUGCGAGCGUUAAUCGGAAUUACUGGGCGUAAAGGGCACGCAGGCGGUUAAUUAAGUUGGAUGUGAAAUCCCCGGGCUUAACCUGGGAAUGGCAUCAAGACUGGUUAGCUAGAGUCUUGUAGAGGGGGUAGAAUUCCAUGUGUAGCGGUGAAAUGCGUAGAGAUGUGGAGGAAUACCGGUGGCGAAGGCGGCCCCUGGACAAAGGACUGACGCUCAUGUGCGAAAGCGUGGGGAGCAAACAGGGAUUAGAUACC
Molecule: ribosomal RNA, 453 nt
Filed under: uncultured bacterium
Lineage: Bacteria
Description: bacterial SSU rRNA
Rfam family: Bacterial small subunit ribosomal RNA
Source: RNAcentral